RNAcentral lists this ribosomal RNA (881 nucleotides) under uncultured bacterium. Its description in RNAcentral is "bacterial SSU rRNA". It matches the Rfam family "Bacterial small subunit ribosomal RNA", at positions 9 to 869 of the family's 1533-position model. The record is from RNAcentral.
GAGUUUGAUCCUGGCUCGAAUCAACGCUGGCGGCGUGCCUAACACAUGCAAGUCGAACGCGAAAGGGGAGCAAUCCCUGAGUAGAGUGGCAAACGGGUGAGUAACACGUGGGUGACCUGCCUCCGAGUGGGGGAUAACGUCCCGAAAGGGACGCUAAUACCGCAUAACAUCCCGCCUUUGGAAAGGUGGAGAUCAAAGCUGGGGAUCGCAAGACCUGGCGCUUGAAGAGGGGCCCGCGCCUGAUUAGCUAGUUGGUGGGGUAACGGCUCACCAAGGCUACGAUCAGUAUCCGGCCUGAGAGGGCGGACGGACACACUGGGACUGAGACACGGCCCAGACUCCUACGGGAGGCAGCAGUGGGGAAUUGUUCGCAAUGGGCGAAAGCCUGACGACGCAACGCCGCGUGGAGGACGAAGAUCUUCGGGUCGUAAACUCCUGUCGAGUGGGAAGAAUGCUUCGAGGGUGAAUAAUCCUCGGAAUUGACGGUACCGCUAAAGGAAGCCCCGGCUAACUCCGUGCCAGCAGCCGCGGUAAUACGGGGGGGGCAAGCGUUGUUCGGAAUUACUGGGCGUAAAGGGCUCGUAGGCGGCCAACUAAGUCGGAUGUGAAAUCCCCAGGCUCAACCUGGGAACUGCAUCCGAUACUGGAUGGCUUGAAUCCGGGAGAGGGAUGCAGGAUUCCAGGUGUAGCGGUGAAAUGCGUAGAUAUCUGGAGGAAUACCGGUGGCGAAGGCGGCAUCCUGGACCGGCAUUGACGCUGAGGAGCGAAAGCUAGGGGAGCAAACGGGAUUAGAUACCCCGGUAGUCCUAGCCCUAAACGAUGAAUGCUUGGUGUAACGGGUAUCGAUCCCUGUUGUGCCGAAGCUAACGCAUUAAGCAUUC